CAAACAAGAAUGUGUCCUUAGUACACGAAUGCCCCACUCGCACUUUCAUUUUCUAUGUUCAGUGGACCGUGACAUUGGGAUAAAAACUCUAAUUUGGCAUUAAAAUUAGAAAGAUCAUAUCAUAGGGAACAUGUGUACUAAGUUUGAAGUUGAUUGGACUUCAACUUCAUCAAAAACUACCUUGACCAAAAACUUUAACCUGAAGCGGGACAGACGGACGGAUGAACGGACGGACGCACAGACCAGAAAACAUAAUGCCCCUCUACUA
This 268-nucleotide long non-coding RNA is filed under the name Mytilus galloprovincialis (Mediterranean mussel). Lineage: Eukaryota; Metazoa; Mollusca; Bivalvia; Mytilida; Mytilidae. The record is from RNAcentral.